RNAcentral lists this small RNA (28 nucleotides) under Bombyx mori (domestic silkworm). Its description in RNAcentral is "ovarian small RNA-11952". Lineage: Eukaryota; Metazoa; Arthropoda; Insecta; Lepidoptera; Bombycidae. The record is from RNAcentral.
AGAUCCGAAACACUUAGAGGGCCAGGGC